RNAcentral lists this long non-coding RNA (448 nucleotides) under Homo sapiens (human). Its description in RNAcentral is "HSALNT0174264". The record is from RNAcentral. Lineage: Eukaryota; Metazoa; Chordata; Mammalia; Primates; Hominidae.
CUGCUAUCGAAAGCUAUGACUUAUUCUUUCUUUGUAAAUAUAUGUUUGUACCCAUUAACUAACCUCUCUUUAUCCCCUCUCCAACCUUCCCAGGCACUGGUAACUACAAUUCUAUUAUCUACCUCCAUGAGAUCAACUUUUUCUGCUCACCCAUAUGAAAAAAAAUAUAAAAAAUAUGUUUAUUAGUCAGAGUGUGCUCUCUUUAAUCCUGGCUGUCUGAACACCAUGCAUCUCCACGCAUUCUGCACAAAUAAUUUUAGACACUGCUGACAAUCCUCCUGCUUCAAUCUCAACAUUCAGCCAAAGAGAUAAGAAAAGGUAUGACACAGAAAAAAUGGAAACAUAAUUUUAGAAUAAAAGGAAUCAUCAGAGGAUACAAAGCACCUCAUUCAAGACAGAAACGAAGUACUCAGUAGAAAAGUUGGAAGUUAGGUAAGUUAUCCUAAAA